AAUAGAUACCCAGGUAGUCCACGCCGUAAACGGUGGGCACUAGGUGUGGGCAACAUUCCACGUUGUCCGUGCCGCAGCUAACGCAUUAAGUGCCCCGCCUGGGGAGUACGGCCGCAAGGCUAAAACUCAAAGGAAUUGACGGGGGGCCCGCACAAGCGGCGGAGCAUGUGGCUUAAUUCGACGCAACGCGAAGAACCUUACCAAGGCUUGACAUACACCGGAAAGCAUCAGAGAUGGUGCCCCCCUUGUGGUCGGUGUACAGGUGGUGCAUGGCUGUCGUCAGCUCGUGUCGUGAGACGUUGGGUUAAGUCCCGCAACGAGCGCAACCCUUGUCCCGUGUUGCCAGCAGGCCCUUGUGGUGCUGGGGACUCACGGGAGACCGCCGGGGGUCAACUCGGAGGAAGGUGGGGACGACGUCAAGGUCAUCAUGCCCCUUAUGUCUUGGGCUGCACACGUGCUACAUGGCCGGUACAAUGAGCCGCGAUACCGCAAGGUGGAGCGAAUCUCAAAAAGCCGGUCUCAGUUCGGAUUGGGGUCUG
RNAcentral lists this ribosomal RNA (539 nucleotides) under uncultured bacterium. RNAcentral's name for it is "bacterial SSU rRNA". It matches the Rfam family "Bacterial small subunit ribosomal RNA", at positions 777 to 1307 of the family's 1533-position model. The record is from RNAcentral.